RNAcentral lists this ribosomal RNA (170 nucleotides) under uncultured bacterium. RNAcentral's name for it is "partial 16S ribosomal RNA". It matches the Rfam family "Bacterial small subunit ribosomal RNA", at positions 1330 to 1500 of the family's 1533-position model. The record is from RNAcentral.
AAUUGCUAGUAAUGGCAGGUCAGCAUACUGCCGUGAAUACGUUCCCGGGCCUUGUACACACCGCCCGUCACACCAUGAGAGUUGGAGAUACCCGAAGCCUAUGAGCUAACUUUUAGAGGCAGUAGUCGAAGGUAGAAUCAAUGAUUGGGGUGAAGUCGUAACAAGGUAGC